Molecule: unclassified non-coding RNA, 288 nt
Filed under: uncultured Glomerales
Lineage: Eukaryota; Fungi; Glomeromycota; Glomeromycetes; Glomerales; Glomeraceae
Description: sequence contains 5.8S rRNA gene, ITS2, 28S rRNA gene
Rfam family: 5.8S ribosomal RNA (bases 1-52)
Source: RNAcentral
AACGCAUAUUGCACUCUCUGGUAUUCCGGAGAGUAUGCCUGUUUGAGGGUCAGUUAAAUAAAAAUCGGUUUUGUUGCUACUUUUUUGUGGUAACGUACCGGAAUUGGGUCUUCUUUAUCUUUUGGUGUAAGUGACCUAAAAUUUUACGUGAUUUUCGAAAACGUAUUUAAAUUUUUUACUUACGUUUGCGAUAUCGGAUACUAGAUGCGGUCAUUUUCCAUGAUUUUCGCGUCUAUAAUUUUUUCAUCUAAUGACCUCAAAUCAGGUAAGAGUACCCGCUGAACUUAA